This 468-nucleotide ribosomal RNA is filed under the name uncultured bacterium. RNAcentral describes it as "partial 16S ribosomal RNA". It matches the Rfam family "Bacterial small subunit ribosomal RNA", at positions 29 to 507 of the family's 1533-position model. The record is from RNAcentral.
UACGAACGCUGGCGGCGUGCUUAACACAUGCAAGUCGAACGGAAAGGCCCUGCUUUUGUGGGGUGCUCGAGUGGCGAACGGGUGAGUAACACGUGAGUAACCUGCCCUUGACUUUGGGAUAACUUCAGGAAACUGGGGCUAAUACCGGAUAGGAGCUCCUGCUGCAUGGUGGGGGUUGGAAAGUUUCGGUGGUUGGGGAUGGACUCGCGGCUUAUCAGCUUGUUGGUGGGGUAGUGGCUUACCAAGGCUUUGACGGGUAGCCGGCCUGAGAGGGUGACCGGCCACAUUGGGACUGAGAUACGGCCCAGACUCCUACGGGAGGCAGCAGUGGGGAAUAUUGCACAAUGGGCGGAAGCCUGAUGCAGCAACGCCGCGUGCGGGAUGACGGCCUUCGGGUUGUAAACCGCUUUCGCCUGUGACGAAGCGUGAGUGACGGUAAUGGGUAAAGAAGCACCGGCUAACUACGUG